This 241-nucleotide long non-coding RNA is filed under the name Mytilus galloprovincialis (Mediterranean mussel). Lineage: Eukaryota; Metazoa; Mollusca; Bivalvia; Mytilida; Mytilidae. The record is from RNAcentral.
AUAUAAAGUUACAAAAAGAAGCAUUCAGUACUUAUAAUUACAUUUUUUAGCUAUGAUCAUGUAAACACGACUUUUAUAUAUUUUUUUUUAUUUAAUUCACCUGUGCACUUUAUUGUUGGACCACGUGUUAUCAUGAAUGAAAAGUUGUAUUGAUCAAUGCAACUGCUUACGGAAUAACACGUGAUGUGCAGUUAGCCAAUCAGAAUAAAGUAUUAUAAUGAAACAUACAUCUAAUGUAAUU